RNAcentral lists this long non-coding RNA (269 nucleotides) under Physcomitrium patens. RNAcentral's name for it is "long non-coding RNA (PPAT_LNC004696)". The record is from RNAcentral. Lineage: Eukaryota; Viridiplantae; Streptophyta; Bryopsida; Funariales; Funariaceae.
ACAACACAUCUCUUGGAGUUCUAGCUCACCUUUCUGGUGUUGUUCUUGUACUCAUCUGUUUAAUCUAGUUCUGCCACUUCUUCUUGAACUUCUUGUUAGAUUUCAAGUCUAUAUUUUGUGUCCGUGACACCCUGAUUAUUGGCACUAGAAUUAGCCACUGUUUCUAACAUCCAAGAUGACUAAAUAUUAAUAAUAUCUUUUUCAUUUAUAUUUUCACUAUAUAGUCGUGUUACAACAUGACAACGUCAUCUUAGAUGAUAGGAAUCGAC